RNAcentral lists this ribosomal RNA (497 nucleotides) under uncultured bacterium. RNAcentral describes it as "partial 16S ribosomal RNA". It matches the Rfam family "Bacterial small subunit ribosomal RNA", at positions 28 to 507 of the family's 1533-position model. The record is from RNAcentral.
GAUGAACGCUGGCGGCGUGCCUAAUACAUGCAAGUCGAGCGAACAGACGAGGAGCUUGCUCCUCUGACGUUAGCGGCGGACGGGUGAGUAACACGUGGAUAACCUACCUAUAAGACUGGGAUAACUUCGGGAAACCGGAGCUAAUACCGGAUAAUAUAUUGAACCGCAUGGUUCAAUAGUGAAAGACGGUUUUGCUGUCUCUUAUAGAUGGAUCCGCGCGGCAUUAGCUAGUUGGUAAGGUAACGGCUUACCAAGGCAGCGAGGCGUAGCCGACGGGAGAGGGGGAUCGGCCACACUGGAACUGAGACACGGCCAAGACUCCUACGGGAGGCAGCAGUAGGGAAUCUUCCGCAAUGGGCGAAAGCCUGACGGAGCAACGCCGCGUGAGUGAUGAAGGUCUUCGGAUCGUAAAACUCUGUUAUUAGGGAAGAACAAAUGUGUAAGUAACUAUGCACGUCUUGACGGUACCUAAUCAGAAAGCCACGGCUAACUACGUG